UUUCCGUAGGUGAACCUGCGGAAGGAUCAUUAAUGAGGGCGUGUGGGCUAAUAUCCCCGCGAACCCUAACCCUCUGUUUACUGCCCCGUUGUGGUUUUUUACUUGGGCGCGGUUGGGGCUUUUUUUUUUUUUUUUUUAAAAAGAAAAAAGCUCUUGUGAUAUGCCCAAAAGGCUGCCACAAAUUUCCCUUUCCCCCCCCGACCCAAAAAUAAAAAUCAAAAAUAAAAAUCUUAUAACAAAAAUAUUUGAUGUCUGAAGUAAAAUCUUUAAAUAAAGCAAAACUUUCAACAACGGAUCUCUUGGUUCCGGCAUCGAUGAAGAACGCAGCGAAAUGCGAUAAGUAAUGUGGACCGCAGUACUCAGCGACUCAUCGAAUCUUUGAACGCACAUUGCGCCACUUGGUAUCACCAAAGGGCACACCUGUUCGAGCGUCACAUACAUCGCAUCAAGUCAAGGGCCCGGCUUGCAAUUGGGCUUUGUCUGCUUUAUGGUAGAAGUCUAAAAGUCAGUGGCGGUUAUGUUAGGCAUUCCAGCGUAGUGGGAUCAAAUUAGCUGUUGCAAUGUCUUUUACAUGACAGUCAAAAUGUUCAAGGGUUUCUGCUGGCGGAAACCCUUGGAUUUUAUCAACUAUGACCUCGG
RNAcentral lists this unclassified non-coding RNA (639 nucleotides) under Peltigera fuscoponojensis (nom. ined.). Its description in RNAcentral is "Peltigera fuscoponojensis sequence contains ITS1, 5.8S rRNA gene and ITS2". The stretch from base 280 to 434 matches the Rfam family "5.8S ribosomal RNA". The record is from RNAcentral. Lineage: Eukaryota; Fungi; Ascomycota; Lecanoromycetes; Peltigerales; Peltigeraceae.